AAAUAAAAAUCGGGGUUGUUGCUGCCUUUCGUGGUGACGCUUCGGAACUGGGUCGUCUUUGCCUUCGGUUAAGUGACCUAAAAUUUCGGAUGAUUUUUCGAACGUAUUUAAUUUUUUUAUGUACGUUUGUAUAUCGAAUAUUAGAUGUGGUCAUUUCCAUGAUUCGCGUCUAUAAUUUUUCAUU
Molecule: unclassified non-coding RNA, 184 nt
Filed under: uncultured Glomus
Lineage: Eukaryota; Fungi; Glomeromycota; Glomeromycetes; Glomerales; Glomeraceae
Description: partial internal transcribed spacer 2
Source: RNAcentral